UUGAUCCUGGCUCAGAAUCAACGCUGGCGGCGUGCCUCAGACAUGCAAGUCGAACGCGAAAGUCCCCUUCGGGGGGCAAGUAGAGUGGCGCACGGGUGAUUAACACGUAGGUAAUCUACCUUUGGAUGGGGAAUAACAAUCGGAAACGGUUGCUAAUACCGCAUAAUGCAGCGGCACCUAAUGGUGACAGUUGUUAAAGUGGGGAUCGAAAGACCUCGCGUCUAAAGAGGAGCCUGCGGCGGAUUAGCUUGUUGGUAAGGUAACGGCUUACCAAGGCGACGAUCCGUAGCCGGCCUGAGUGGGCGGUCGGCCACACUGACACUGACAUACGGGUCAGACUCCUACGGGAUGCAGCAGUCGGGAAUUUUGGGCAAUGGGCGAAAGCCUGACCCAGCAACGUCGCGUGAAGGAUGAAAUCCCUCGGGAUGUAAACUUCGCAAGAACGGGAAUAAUAAGUAGGGGACAAUACCCCCUAUGAUGACGGUACCGUUUGUAAGCUUCGGCUAACUCCGUGCCAGCAGCCGCGGUAAUAAGGU
This 536-nucleotide ribosomal RNA is filed under the name uncultured Acidobacteriota bacterium. RNAcentral's name for it is "bacterial SSU rRNA". It matches the Rfam family "Bacterial small subunit ribosomal RNA", at positions 13 to 529 of the family's 1533-position model. Lineage: Bacteria; Pseudomonadati; Acidobacteriota. The record is from RNAcentral.